UACGUAGGGAGCAAGCGUUGUCCGGAAUCAUUGGGCGUAAAGCGCGUAGGUGGCCUCGUAAGUCCGCUGUGAAAGUCAAAGGCUCAACCUUUGAAAGCCGGUGGAUACUGUGAGGCUAGAGUACGGAAGAGGCGAGUGGAAUUCCUGGUGUAGCGGUGGAAUGCGCAGAUAUCAGGAGGAACACCAAUAGCGAAGGCAGCUCGCUGGGACGUUACUGACACUGAGGCGCGAAAGCGUGGGGAGCGAACAGG
Molecule: ribosomal RNA, 251 nt
Filed under: uncultured bacterium
Lineage: Bacteria
Description: partial 16S ribosomal RNA
Rfam family: Bacterial small subunit ribosomal RNA
Source: RNAcentral